UACGUAGGCGGUUUAGUAAGUCAGAUGUGAAAGCCCCGGGCUUAACCUGGGAACUGCAUUUGAAACUGCUGAACUAGAGUGUGGUAGAGGGAAGUGGAAUUCAGGGUGUAGCGGUGAAAUGCGUAGAUAUCCUGAGGAACACCAGUGGCGAAGGCGACUUCCUGGACCAACACUGACGCUGAGGUACGAAAGCGUGGGUAGCAAACAGGAUUAGAUACCCUGGUAGUCC
Molecule: ribosomal RNA, 229 nt
Filed under: uncultured bacterium
Lineage: Bacteria
Description: partial 16S ribosomal RNA
Rfam family: Bacterial small subunit ribosomal RNA
Source: RNAcentral